GUCGGGAUAGCUCAUUUGGUAGAGCAGAGGACUGAAAAUCCUC
RNAcentral lists this transfer RNA (43 nucleotides) under Tofieldia pusilla. RNAcentral describes it as "partial transfer RNA-Phe". It matches the Rfam family "tRNA", at positions 1 to 42 of the family's 71-position model. Rfam says of the family: Transfer RNA (tRNA) molecules are approximately 80 nucleotides in length. The record is from RNAcentral. Lineage: Eukaryota; Viridiplantae; Streptophyta; Magnoliopsida; Alismatales; Tofieldiaceae.